This 301-nucleotide ribosomal RNA is filed under the name uncultured bacterium. RNAcentral's name for it is "partial 16S ribosomal RNA". It matches the Rfam family "Bacterial small subunit ribosomal RNA", at positions 509 to 809 of the family's 1533-position model. The record is from RNAcentral.
CAGUCGCCACGGUAACACGGAGGGUGCAAGCGUUACUCGGAAUUACUGGGCGUAAAGCGUGCGUAGGUGGUGGUUUAAGUCCGUUGUGAAAGCCCUGGGCUCAACCUGGGAAUUGCAGUGGAUACUGGGUCACUAGAGUGUGGUAGAGGAUAGUGGAAUUUCCGGUGUAGCAGUGAAAUGCGUAGAGAUCGGAAGGAACAUCUGUGGCGAAGGCGACUAUCUGGGCCAACACUGACACUGAGGCACGAAAGCGUGGGGAGCAAACAGGAUUAGAUACCCGAGUAGUCCCUGUCUCUUAUAA